This 3502-nucleotide unclassified non-coding RNA is filed under the name Onthophagus taurus. RNAcentral's name for it is "autism susceptibility gene 2 protein-like, transcript variant X2". The record is from RNAcentral. Lineage: Eukaryota; Metazoa; Arthropoda; Insecta; Coleoptera; Scarabaeidae.
AGGCGUGGUGGGUACGCGACAUUUUGCUGGUUAUCGACUUGUGUGCCUCUGGCGUUGUGUUUGGUGGUUUUUCGUGUGCGUUUUGGGGCACCCGGUCUCGUGUUUUAUCGGACGCGUCUCGUAGAUAUGUGAAAGGGGGCAGGCGAAGUGCCCCAUAAUGUUCGUAUACAGGUGAAGUGGGCCCCAUGUGGAUCGACCAUGGACGCAGAAACUAAGCAGAGGCACCGGCGAAGAAAAAGGGCUUUGCGUAUGGCUCAGGCCCAGCGCGAAAUGGCCAAAGAAGGGGAUAGUGGUGAGGAUGACUCUCCCGUUAGGGAGAAACCCCAGCGGCCCCCAAACAGACGUAAAAAAUCAAAGGAACCCCUCGUCGAAGAGGACAUCAUAGAUGGCUUUGCCAUACUUGGAUUUAAAUCUUAUGAGGACUUGGAGUUGGCGCUAAAGAUUCAAACCAAGGAGAACGUGAAAAGACUGGUAGACGUCGAGAGGCCGAAACUCGACCCCAUAAGGCCACACAUCAUAACGCACCACAUCUCCGCGCACCACGCACACGGUCUAACGUUACAAGAUCCUGCCACAAGCGAUGAUAGUGGUAGAGCGUCUGAAAGACUUACAAGUUCCUCAGUGGCUCCCAGAGACGCUGACAGCUCCAGGGAUAGACUUAGUGAUGCGAGCAGUCGCUGCAGUUCUGGCAAAGGAUAUAUCUGUGAUAGCGAGGGGGAUGACGAUAAGGGUUCCGAUGCGAGUUCGGUGAUAUUCGGUUCAGCCCCGGCGUCUCGGAAACACGAGUUUCCGGGUGCUUUACCUCCGAGCCUCCCUUUGAGCAAUGGAACGAGUAACUCCCCGGUGCCGGCGCCGACGCCCCCCGACUUGCCGGCACCGCUUCCGGCACCCGCGCAACUUCCUCCACCGCCUCCGCAACAUACGGCGGCAUCGGCCGCCGUUAGGAUAGAAGAAAAACCACCCCCACCGAUCCCACAAACGAUAUCUAGGGCUAUAUCACUUGAUAAAAAAAUUACGGCAACUGCAAUGGAUAUUCAAUUAACGGGUGCUCCAAAUUCACCGGUAACAAUCGGCGGACCCGGAGUGCCACCACAACAACCGCAACAACAACCGGCUCCGGCAGUGCCAAUGUUGCCACCCCACGAUUUGGCGCCAACAUCAAAUCGGUCCAGAACGGAAAGUCCGGCGGUCGCAACAUCUGCACCGGCUUAUCACGCUCCUUAUCAACCCCUUUACACACCGUACUCCCAAACACCGUAUUCGGCCCCCGUACACCAACCACCGGCGACUGUUACCGCUGUUGUUACGACUUCCGUUCCAACGGUUCAAGCGGUACAUCCGGUUCAUCCGGCAACGGUGGUCAGUAGGACCGCAUCAUCACCAAGGGGGCAUUCGCCGACGAGGGAAAGGGAAAGUUACAGCAGCAACGUAAGCAGUUUGAGUCGGAGCAGUGUAGCGACCCCGCAAGGAACAUCAAGUGGUAUUCCUCAACCCCAACCGGGUCAACCGACGCCAGCAGCCACCACGGUGUCUUCGUCUAGUCUAAGCUUAAAUAAAGUGUGGUCGGGGGCGGCUCAAGCCACUCAAUUGAGCCCCGCGCCUCCGCCUCGACCAACCCCGCCACUACACCAAUCGUUCACGCAACCGCCGAUGUUCGCAGCACCGCUUCCGCCAUCGUCUUCGGUGGCGCGAGCGUCGCCGUUAGCACCGACGGUGGCAUCGCAACCGCCCGCGUCGUCUGCUCCAAAUCCGAACCCGUUUUCUGCCGAGAAUCUCUUCCAAACGAACCAAGCGGACAUGCUUCGGAGGGAAUUGGAUAAUAGGUUUUUGGCGACGCAGGAUCGUUCUUUGAAUGUGGCGCCACCGCCGUAUCUUCGGACGGAAAUGCACCAACAUCAACACCAUCAUACGCACGUUCAUCAACAUACGACGAGUCUUUUACCACCACCACCAGCGUCUACGUUGUUUCCUUCUCCUUUGUUCAAGGACAUCCCAAAGUUGGGCUCCGUGGAAUCGCCUUUCUACCGUCAAAAUAUGGCUAUGUCCAAUUACCCGGGGUACACUCCUAGUCUUCUACACCCAGGCCUAACGGCCGGGCCCACACCGUUUGUGCCCCCUAAUCAUUUGGGACCAUUCCAACCAAAAGCGAUAGUGCCCGACCCCAGCAAACCCAAACCCACGAAAACGGGCAAGUGGAACGCGAUGCACGUGCGGAUAGCGUGGGAGAUUUAUCAUCACCAACAGAAAAGCGGCGAAGUCAAAUCUGGUCCAGCCAAAGAUCUAUUACGACCACCGACGCAUCUGUUUUCACCCAGUGUACAUCCGACACGACCACAUGAUCUAUCAUCGUUUCCCCCCUCGCUGCCUCAUCGACCACCAACUUACGACCAACCACCACACCACAGUUCCUUAUUUACAAGUCCUGCCUCACAUAUAGGUAGAUCAACAAUAUCUCCAUUCACCCGUUAUGGUACAACUGGUUUUAGUCCAGCGGGUGCUUCUCCUUUUGGAGUAUCGCCGUUCGCCGGCGGAAGAGAUUUGGGGUUGCAAUUACACGAUCCCUGGCGGAGUCUCCAACGGACAGUGCCAACAUUUCCUAGUGUUAGUGCCCUACCACCUAGUUUACCCGGAUUACCACCUCCCGCUCCGUGGGCAAUGAAACCUGAUCCACUCAUCGAACAACGGGAACGAGAAGAACGCGAACGACAGGAGAGGGAACGGGAAAGACUUCGAAGGGAACGGGAGGAACGCGAAAGGAGGGAGAGGGAAGAAAAACAAAGACGAUUAGAACAACAGGAGCGAGAACGUGAACGUCGUGAAAAAGAACGCCGCGAACAAGAACGAUUAGAACGAGAACAACGUGAACGCGAACGACUUCUCCAUCAGCAACGCCUCGAAUCGUCAAAAGCCCUAAAUCCAGUUCUACGCGAUCGAUCCCCACACAGAAAUGGUCUUUUGGAUCACGGGGAAGUCGUUCGAAUUAAAGAGGAACCUCGCUCGAAGGAAGAGGAACUCGCCCGCGUAACCGACCCCCGCUACCAUCCGUACCUGCGUCCACCAGCUCACGCGAUGCAACCCCCAAUGUUGGAUCGGGCACGUAUGCUUAGUCAAACAUUGGGUCAUCCGUACCAACCGCCAACUUCCCAUUGGCCCCCGCCGCCUCCCGCGGACGCGUUUUACCGAUACGACCACCUGAGAUACAAUCCGCUGAUCGACGCGAUGCGAGCGGAAGAGGAACGCGCGAAACUGUUCGGUGGGUAUGCGCCGCAUCCGGCGCAAUUACGGACAAAAGACCCCGCGUUGAUGCAUUUGAGGGGCCCCGGGCCGCCCCCACCUCUUGCACAUAAAUUGUGCGCGACACCUCCCACUGAUUUACACAAAAAGGAGGAGCCUCGAUAGCAGGAUCGAGGGUUGAGAAUUGAUUUGGAAGGAUCUAAACAACGAGUUGAAAGAUGAAGAUAGAAAAAAGACUUGAAAUUAUUAGAAAACUCAAGAGACAUAA